GGUAGGAUGGCUGAGUCAGGCGGUGGAUUGUAGCUCCAUAUACAGAGGUUAAAAUCCUCUUCUUAUCA
Molecule: transfer RNA, 68 nt
Filed under: Embiotoca jacksoni (black perch)
Lineage: Eukaryota; Metazoa; Chordata; Actinopteri; Embiotocidae
Description: tRNA-Tyr
Rfam family: tRNA
About the family: Transfer RNA (tRNA) molecules are approximately 80 nucleotides in length. Their secondary structure includes four short double-helical elements and three loops (D, anti-codon, and T loops).
Source: RNAcentral